AGCAAUACGAGAGUCAUAGUAGAUUGCUAAAAUACGCAAGUACGUAAUGUUCGUCACAUCACAUUUUGAUAUUAAAAGCAUAAUUUACAAUAUAGAUAGGUUCUGUAAGAAAACGAAGUUGAUCGCACGCUGAAAAUUUAAUACACGUACGCUUCAAUCUAGAAAUAAUACGGAAAUUGAACGUGAGUACAUACACAUGUAGAAAAGAUGACAAGAAAUAUAAUAACAUUAUUACAUAUGUAUAUGUCGUACAUAUAUGUAUGUCGAUGGAAAAGAUGAUAAGAAGUGUAUGCGUAUUCAUUCGAUACACAUUAUAUCACGAUUGUUGAGUAAUGUUACGAACGUAAUAUGGCGAUAAAAGAUCGUGCAUCUGUAUAUGUUGUAGGCACGCGGCAUACGCCAUAGAAUGACGGCCGAU
Long non-coding RNA from Frieseomelitta varia, 418 nucleotides. RefSeq lists it as uncharacterized. The record is from RefSeq and is a predicted model, not a curated record. NCBI's taxonomy places the organism in Eukaryota, Metazoa, Arthropoda, Insecta, Hymenoptera, Apidae. The transcript is spliced from 3 exons.